This 394-nucleotide ribosomal RNA is filed under the name uncultured bacterium. RNAcentral's name for it is "partial 16S ribosomal RNA". It matches the Rfam family "Bacterial small subunit ribosomal RNA", at positions 523 to 918 of the family's 1533-position model. The record is from RNAcentral.
AUACGUAGGGAGCGAGCGUUGUCCGGAAUUACUGGGCGUAAAGGGCGCGUAGGCGGCGCUUCAAGUCGUCUGUCAAAUGGGAGGGCUCAACCCUUUUUCGCAGACGAAACUGGAGAGCUUGAGAAGCAGAGAGGCAACCAGAAUUCCUGGUGUAGCGGUGAAAUGCGUAGAUAUCAGGAAGAAUACCAGUGGCGAAGGCGGUUUGCUGGCUGCAUACUGACGCUGAAGCGCGAAAGCCAGGGGAGCAAACGGGAUUAGAUACCCCGGUAGUCCUGGCAGUAAACGAUGUAUGCUGGGUGUGAGACUAGCGAUAGUUUCGUGCCGAAGUUAACGCGAUAAGCAUACCGCCUGGGGAGUACGGUCGCAAGAUUGAAACUCAAAUGAAUUGACGGGG